GGGCUUAACACAUGCAAGUCGAGGGGCAUCAGGAACAUAGCUUGCUUUCUUUGCUGGCGACCGGCGCACGGGUGAGUAACACGUAUCCAACCUGCCCUUUACUCGGGGAUAGCCUUUCGAAAGAAAGAUUAAUACCCGAUAGUAUAAUGAUUCCGCAUGGUUUCAUUAUUAAAGGAUUCCGGUAAAGGAUGGGGAUGCGUUCCAUUAGGUUGUUGGUGAGGUAACGGCCCACCAAGCCUUCGAUGGAUAGGGGUUCUGAGAGGAAGGUCCCCCACAUUGGAACUGAGACACGGUCCAAACUCCUACGGGAGGCAGCAGUGAGGAAUAUUGGUCAAUGGGCGCUAGCCUGAACCAGCCAAGUAGCGUGAAGGAUGAAGGCUCUAUGGGUCGUAAACUUCUUUUAUAUAAGAAUAAAGUGCAGUAUGUAUACUGUUUUGUAUGUAUUAUAUGAAUAAGGAUCGGCUAACUCCGUGCCAGCAGCCGCGGUAAUACGGAGGAUCCGAGCGUUAUCCGGAUUUAUUGGGUUUAAAGGGAGCGUAGGUGGACUGGUAAGUCAGUUGUGAAAGUUUGCGGCUCAACCGUAAAAUUGCAGUUGAUACUGUCAGUCUUGAGUACAGUAGAGGUGGGCGGAAUUCGUGGUGUAGCGGUGAAAUGCUUAGAUAUCACGAAGAACUCCGAUUGCGAAGGCAGCUCACUGGACUGCAACUGACACUGAUGCUCGAAAGUGUGGGUAUCAAACAGGAUUAGAUACCCUGGUAGUCCACACAGUAAACGAUGAAUACUCGCUGUUUGCGAUAUACAGUAAGCGGCCAAGCGAAAGCAUUAAGUAUUCCACCUGGGGAGUACGCCGGCAACGGUGAAACUCAAAGGAAUUGACGGGGGCCCGCACAAGCGGAGGAACAUGUGGUUUAAUUCGAUGAUACGCGAGGAACCUUACCCGGGCUUAAAUUGCAGUGGAAUGAUGUGGAAACAUGUCAGUGAGCAAUCACCGCUGUGAAGGUGCUGCAUGGUUGUCGUCAGCUCGUGCCGUGAGGUGUCGGCUUAAGUGCCAUAACGAGCGCAACCCUUAUCUUCAGUUACUAACAGGUCAUGCUGAGGACUCUGGAGAGACUGCCGUCGUAAGAUGUGAGGAAGGUGGGGAUGACGUCAAAUCAGCACGGCCCUUACGUCCGGGGCUACACACGUGUUACAAUGGGGGGUACAGAAGGCAGCUAGCGGGUGACCGUAUGCUAAUCCCAAAAGCCUCUCUCAGUUCGGAUCGAAGUCUGCAACCCGACUUCGUGAAGCUGGAUUCGCUAGUAAUCGCGCAUCAGCCACGGCGCGGUGAAUACGUUCCCGGGCCUUGUACACACCGCCCGUCAAGCCAUGUGAGCCGGGGGUACCUGAAGUACGUAACCGCAAGGAUCGUCCUAGGGUAAAACUGGUGACUG
Molecule: ribosomal RNA, 1430 nt
Filed under: uncultured organism
Description: 16S ribosomal RNA
Rfam family: Bacterial small subunit ribosomal RNA
Source: RNAcentral